Molecule: long non-coding RNA, 230 nt
Filed under: Lathyrus oleraceus (garden pea)
Lineage: Eukaryota; Viridiplantae; Streptophyta; Magnoliopsida; Fabales; Fabaceae
Description: Pisum sativum (pea) long non-coding RNA (PSAT_LNC035825)
Source: RNAcentral
AUCAUUCUAGUACAUUUAUUUUAAUUUUUCAAGCAUUUUUGCGUCCGACUUUUAUUCGUUUUAAGUUAAUUUAUUUUUAUUUUUUAAUCAAAAUAUUCAUAAAAUAUAAGUAGAAUUUAAAAUAUUUUCAUUUUUAUUUUAUUUUAUUUAUUUGAAAUUAUUUUUAUUUUCUCCAUUCUAAUUUAUUUAAAUCACUUUUAAAUAAUCAAAACUUUUGUUUUUUAAAAUUA